AAGAAGAGACUCCUGCUGCAGCUGCGUAGCCUCAGGCUGACAGAAACAUUACUCAGCAGGAAUGUACCACUUUAAUAAAGUGCAGCGGGACAGCGGACACUCUGCCCGUCGGCAGGUCUGGCUGCUCGUGGGCCUCGAGCGCUGGGAGCAGCCGCUCUGGUGUGAACGUCGGCGCUCGCCGUUGUGACAGAAGACGUCUCUGCGCUGGACUCCGUCUCCACAUGAAGCCGAACACUGAGAGGACACAGAGACGCCGCAGAUGAUGAUGAAGAUGAUGAUGAUGAUCGCACAUGAUGAUCACGGGGCUGAUGGAAUGAGGAAUCAGCCGAGGGCCCCUUCCCGGAUCAAACAUGACCCUUGACCCACACAGACUCCUCUGCAUUGUCUGGCCGAGGCUCCUCCCUCUCUAUAGAAUCACCGAGCGACCCAGUGCUGGUAUGCCGUCACCAGCGGAGAGACCGCAUGGCAAAAUAAAAAGGGCAGCUUCGCAACUUCACAGACGAACACGCGUCACAAUGGGUGAAAUAUCCCAGGGCGCGUAUUUACCUUCGGGGGAAGGAGCUUUGAACUUGCGACACAGACGGUAAAGGGGCGGAGUCACAGCACAGAGGUCAGCAGAGGCCCUGACUGCUAAAAAUAACAGAGGUCACUCACGGUGUGGAGGAAUGUUUCAGAAGCUUUUCCAUUUUUGUUUGGACUAAACAAUAAAGGCACAUUUUGUUCUCGACAAAGCCAGCGUUUCCAAUGUUUUUGGGGCAUCAUUUUGCAUUUUAUUCAACAAUUUAUUAGAGCUUUGAAACAAGACGCGGCAUGAACACAUGAGUUAAUACUGAAAUAUAAACUCCUACGCUCUCAUGCAGUCAUUCCAGGAGGAGAUUUUUGACUCGACAGAUAAAUUCAAUAUUAAUGUGAAUAUGUUUUAAUUGUUUUCUUAAUAAAACUGUGUAAAAUAAGGUUGUUUUGAAUUACCAAACACACCUAGGAACAAAUAGGUUUGACAGAAAUGGCAGUAAAAUCACCAAAAAACAUUAAAUCCCCUAAAUAAAUU
Solea senegalensis (Senegalese sole) is the source of this 1048-nucleotide long non-coding RNA. RefSeq lists it as uncharacterized. Lineage: Eukaryota; Metazoa; Chordata; Actinopteri; Pleuronectiformes; Soleidae. The record is from RefSeq and is a predicted model, not a curated record. The transcript is spliced from 4 exons.